This 494-nucleotide ribosomal RNA is filed under the name Halomonas sp. M5-C5. RNAcentral describes it as "bacterial SSU rRNA". It matches the Rfam family "Bacterial small subunit ribosomal RNA", at positions 1 to 492 of the family's 1533-position model. Lineage: Bacteria; Pseudomonadati; Pseudomonadota; Gammaproteobacteria; Oceanospirillales; Halomonadaceae. The record is from RNAcentral.
UUGAGUUUGAUCAUGGCUCAGAUUGAACGCUGGCGGCAGGCCUAACACAUGCAAGUCGAGCGGCAGCACGGGAAGCUUGCUUCCUGGUGGCGAGCGGCGGACGGGUGAGUAAUGCAUAGGAAUCUGCCCGGUAGUGGGGGAUAACCUGGGGAAACCCAGGCUAAUACCGCAUACGUCCUACGGGGGAAAGCAGGGGCUCUUCGGACCUUGCGCUAUCGGAUGAGCCUAUGUCGGAUUAGCUGGUUGGUGAGGUAAUGGCUCACCAAGGCGACGAUCCGUAGCUGGUCUGAGAGGAUGAUCAGCCACAUCGGGACUGAGACACGGCCCGAACUCCUACGGGAGGCAGCAGUGGGGAAUAUUGGACAAUGGGCGCAAGCCUGAUCCAGCCAUGCCGCGUGUGUGAAGAAGGCCCUCGGGUUGUAAAGCACUUUCAGUGGGGAAGAAAGCCUGGUGGUUAAUACCCGUCAGGAAGGACAUCACCCACAGAAGAGCCG